RNAcentral lists this ribosomal RNA (166 nucleotides) under Chaetothyriales sp. Its description in RNAcentral is "partial large subunit ribosomal RNA". It matches the Rfam family "Eukaryotic large subunit ribosomal RNA", at positions 99 to 261 of the family's 3401-position model. Lineage: Eukaryota; Fungi; Ascomycota; Eurotiomycetes; Chaetothyriales. The record is from RNAcentral.
CGGCAACAGCUCAAAUUUGAAAUCUGGUCCCGUUAGGGGCCCGAGUUGUAAUUUGUAGAGGAUGUUUCGGGUACGGUCCGGGCUUAAAUUUCUUGGAACAGAAUGUCAGAGAGGGUGAGAAUCCCGUCUGGAGUCUGCGACACGGCCUAUGUGAAACUCCUUCGAC